UACGAGAGGCCCAAACGUUAUUCGGAUUUACUGGGCUUAAAGAGUUCGUAGGCGGCUUGGAAAGUGGGGUGUGAAAGCCCUCGGCUUAACCGAGGAAUUGCGCUCCAAACUACCGAGCUUGAGGAGGCUAGAGGUGAGCAGAACUGAUGGUGGAGCGGUGAAAUGCGUUGAUAUCAUCAGGAAUACCGGAGGCGAAGGCGGCUCACUGGGACCUUUCUGACGCUGAUGCGCGAAAGCCAGGGGAGCGAACGGG
Molecule: ribosomal RNA, 253 nt
Filed under: uncultured bacterium
Lineage: Bacteria
Description: partial 16S ribosomal RNA
Rfam family: Bacterial small subunit ribosomal RNA
Source: RNAcentral